RNAcentral lists this long non-coding RNA (2190 nucleotides) under Sus scrofa (pig). RNAcentral's name for it is "lncRNA (ENSSSCG00055028455.1)". The record is from RNAcentral. Lineage: Eukaryota; Metazoa; Chordata; Mammalia; Artiodactyla; Suidae.
UGAAAUACGGUAACUCAUUCCUAUUGUGGCGCAGCAGAAAUGAAUCUGACUAGGAACCAUGAGGUUGCGGGUUUGAUCCCUGGCUUUGCUCAGUGGGUUUAAGGAUUUGGUGGUGUCUUGAGCUGUGGUGUAGAUCGCAGGUGCGACUUGGAUCCUGCAUUGCUGUGGCUCUGGUGCAGGCUGGCAGUAACAGCUCCAAUUAGUCCCCUAGCCUGGGAACCUCCAUGUGUCACGGGUGCAGCCCUAAAAAAAGACAACAACAACAACAAAGAAUUCUAGCUGUUUUGAAGAUGUGAUAGCUGGGAAAUGAGUAGGGGGUCCCAGUACUGCGUGUCUCUGUCUGUACUUCUUAGGAACCCUUCAAGGGAUGAAGGCCUAGCGCUGCGGCAUGGUUACCAUAUGUAGCAAAGAUUCAUUUUAUGAGGAGUUAGUGUCACAUUUUCCUCCUAAUCUCAUAAUAUGUUGUAAUUGAAGAAAAGUAGGUCCUAAUUGAAAGCUGAUGAUCCAGCAGGGUGAUCAAUAGCAUGAUGCUCUUUAAAAAACAACAAAAACAUUAGCUUUCCUGCUGCCUGAAUAUUGUCAAAAGCCUUUGUGUGUUCCAUGACUUCAAGCUGAGUGUACUUAAUCAUUUUGAGAAUGUGGCCCUGAGCACUAAGCGUGGCCCUUCCAGUGAAGCACUGAGAAUUGUGUUCAGAAGAGUGAGGUAUUGAAUAGAAAUGCUCUCUUGGCUUACUUUCAGCCUUCGUUUUUCCAGAGGCAAGAAUUGAGCCGACAUCCCUUCAUUGAAACAAAUUUUAGCUGCUUGUGUGUCAUUUUUUUUUGUUGUUGUCAGCAGGUGUGACUUAUUGAUAACUUUGCCUCCAAAGGAAAACAUCUUAAAAGACUAACAGGUUUAAGCAGUGUGUAUUCAGUAAAUUGCCUCUUAUUAGAGAAAGAGAAGCAGUUUUUGGGAACUGGAAACUGCAUGUCAGAUGUUGGAGGAAAACUCAUUCAUCAAACAUUUAUUGUGCCAGGUGUCAGACUGGGGAUAUGAGAAGGCAGUUGGCGCCCUCAAGGAGCUGCCAGUCUAGUGGGAAAGACAAAUAUUUAAUUAGAGGCACACUGGUUUUUUACCUUGGCUGCACACUGGAAUAAGUUGGGGAAGUUGGAGGGGAAGAAAACAGUACCUGGAGAUUCUGAUUUAAUUGGUCUAGGGUGUGGCAUCAGGGCUUUUAAAAGCUUCCUGAGUAAUUGUGUCAGGGUUGAAUGUGGUAGGAGCUGCAAGAGUGGGGAAGCACAGGGUGCCUUAGGGGGUGUCUAGGAUAAGAAGGGGGCAGGGGUAUUGAGAAGGCUUCCCAGAGAAGGGGAAACACCUGAACUAGGGCUUGAUGAAUGAAUUUGCCAAGUGAAAAAGACUGGAAAGACAGUUCCUUGCAGAAGAGUAGCUGAAUGAUGUAGAAUAGUAAAGUGGUUAGUGUCUUUGGAUGAUCCUUGCCGAUUCUGCUACUUCCUCACAUUUCAGUGUCCUCAUCUCUAAACUGGGGAUAAUAAUACUUACAAAGCUGUUAAAGAUUAACUGAGACAAUGCAUGUAAAGUGCCUAGGAUCGUGCCUGGCACACUGGGAAUAGUAGGGUAGUAUGGUAAUGAUGUUAUCAUUAGAGAAUCAGAGCAUGGUUUGUUUAGAGAGCUACAAGUACUCUGUGGCUGGAUCUUAGGGUGCAAGGCUGCAUGAGGUAAGGAUGGGUAGCAAAAAGACGAUUGGCAGAUGGACAGUGUUACAGAUCAUGGAGGUAUAGGAGUGUAAGGCAAUUAGUAAUGGAAUAUCAUGGCAGAAACAGGACAUUUCCAUAGUAAUAGGUUAUGAUAUGAUGUGUUCUGGGAAAGCUUGGGUCCAUAUUGGAAAACUGGCUUGAGAUAUGAUAUUCCUAGCAUCAUUACGUGUAGUAAAUUACCAGCGAGUGUUAAUAGGGCAGAAAUAGGAUUUUCAGUUCCUUUAACCAAGUAGUUAAAAAGGUUGAGUGUCUUAGGAGUUCCCAUUGUGGCUGAGCAGAUGAAGAACCGAACUAGUAUCCAUGAGGCUUGGGGUUCAAUCUCUGGCCUCUCUCGGUGGGUUAAGCAUCUUGUGUUGCCACAAGCUGCAGCAUAGAUUCACAGAUGUGGCUUGGAUUUGGUGCAGCUGUGGUGUAGGCUGGCAGCUGCAGCUUGGGAUU